Long non-coding RNA from Papaver somniferum (opium poppy), 3280 nucleotides. RefSeq lists it as uncharacterized. The record is from RefSeq and is a predicted model, not a curated record. Lineage: Eukaryota; Viridiplantae; Streptophyta; Magnoliopsida; Ranunculales; Papaveraceae. The transcript has 8 exons.
UUAUAAGUACUAUUCAUCUAUAGGGUUUCUUUAGGGUUCUUUUUCUCAAUUUCUAUAAUUUGCUUCUUCCGCUUAUUUCUAAUACUGCAAAGUAACAGCAGAAAUAAAUGAUCCAUCAUCAAAGCCUAAAGAUGGAUUUAAUGAUGACAACAAUUAUUCAUACAUUGUCACUCAUUCUGGAUAUAGGGCUUUAUAAACCACAAUCAGGACAACAUUCGGAUGUACAAAGUAUUGCACCAAAUGUCAGGAAAUGAGUUGAGGCUUUGCUCCGCAUUCAGACAAAGCAUGAUAAUAUAAAACCAAAGUUUAUUAAAGAGAGAGAAUUUCUUGAAGCCGUCUACAUGACUAAGCAUGAUGAGAUCAAGGUAAAAUUAUGUGAAGAGAGUGCCCUACUUGAAGCCAAGUAUCAGACAAUGUAUGAACCCCUUUACAGUCAGAGAUUUAAUAUUGUCAGUGGGGUGGUCGGGGUCGACGAAGUUACAAAAGAGGUUGAGGCUGAUAAAGCAGUAUGUAUAGCAAGCACUAAAUACUAGCAGCUGAGAAGGGUGUUCCAGAUUUCUGGCUCGAUGUGUUGAAGACAAAUAAAAUUUUAAGGGAGGAGGUAAUUAAUAUGAUUAUCCACUUUUAUCUUUAUUUUGGUAUAAAAUUCUGGUAUUGUGGGUUUCAUCUACUCCUUCUGGAAUGUGGAUCACAGAGCGCGAUGAAGGUGCUCUCAAGUAUCUUAUAGAUAUCAAGUGUUGCCGGAUUGAAGGGCCCAAGGGGUUCAAACUUGAAUAGUUUUUUUUUUGUUUGGUAUCUCCUUUAACCUAAUCUAUUGUUGUAUUUAACUAGAUGGAUUUCUGUGAACAAAAAUUUCUUUUUUCAUUUUUGAUUUAAUGUUAUCGUGCAUGAUCAAAAUGUAAUGUGUGUGUUAUGUUUAGAGUGAUAAAAAGAACAACAUCUUCUGCCACAUGCCCCUGACACGCGUCGCCUUAUGAGACAGCUGAUAGGGUUUUCAAGUUUUUUGUUUUUUUUUGUUUUCAGGGUUCCAAACACACCCUUAAUUAAGGGUGUUACUGAACAGUAAAACUAUUUUUAUCUCUUUUUAAACGCACUCUUAUUUUUUUUCAGUGUGCUAACCACACUCUUACGCAACGGUGUUGUUGGAGUGUAAGUUUUUUUUCCUUCCAGAAAGACACACGUACGCCAGGUUUGCAAAUGAGUCACCUCUCUCUCUCUCUCUCUCUCUCUCUCUCUCUCUCACUUUAUAAGUCACUUUUCAUUAGUUUUUUUUUUAGGUUUCAAUUAUUUUUCUCUCAUUUUCUACGCCUGGCUUCUAUGGCUUCUUUUCAAUUUUGUGGUAUUCACUAGGUCAGUAAUACAGUAAUGGCCGAAAUAAAGGAUUCAUCAUCAAAUUCUGAUUAUAGGGCUUUGCAUGGACAACAUGAUGAUGCAUGUGCAAGUAGCACACCAGAUGUUAGGAAGCGAGUUGAGGCUUUUCUUGACUAAGCAUGAUGAAAUCAAAGCAAAUUUUAUUGAUGAGAGAAAAGUACUUGAAACCAAGUACACGGUAGGGGCACAAAGCUGUUCAUUAGCAUUAUAUUCUUCAGUUACCUUGGGUCUUUGGUUUAACAUUUGAUUUUCUUGAUUGCAGAUUUAACAUGAUGAAACAAAAAGGUUUUUUUUGUUUGAUAUUUUGUUUAACCUAAUCUGUUGUUGUAUUUAACUUGAUGGAUUUCAGUGAAAAAAAAUUCUUUUUCAUUUUUGAUUUAAUCCUACAGUGCAUGAUCAAAAUGUUGGUCAAUCUGUGUGUUAUAUCUAGAGUGCUAGAAAGAACGACAUCUUCUACCUCGUGCCCAUGACACGCCUCUCCUUGUGAGACAACUGAUAGGGUUUUCAAUUUAUUUAUUUAUUUUAUUUAUUUUUAGUGUUUUCAAGGUUCCAAACACACCCUUAAUAAGGGUGUUACUGGAGUGUAACACUAUUUUUUUCUCUUUUUCUUUAAAAGGCAUUCUUAUUUUUUCAGUGUGCCAAACACGCUCUUUAGCAACUGUGUCGUUGGAGUGUAAGUUUUUUUUUCUUUUCAGAAAGACACGCGUAUGCCAGGUUUGCAAAUGAGUCACCCCUCUCUCUCUCACUUUAUAAGUCACUCUUCAUUAGGUUUUCUUUUAGGUUUCAAUUCUUUUUCUCUCACUUUCUACGUCUGGCUUCUUCGGAUUCUUUUCAUUUUUGGGUUAUUCACUAGGUCAGUGAUACAGUAAUGGCCGAACAAAAUGAUUCAUCAUCAAAUUCUGAUUCUGAAGAAGGAUAUAGGGCUUUGCAUUGACAACAUUCUGAUGUAUGUGAAAGUAGCACACCAGAUGUUAGGAACCGAGUUGAGGCUUUGCUUGAUAUUCAGGUAUGUGAAUGCAUUUUUUCAUCUAGCUUGAAUUAAGGGUUCUUGAGUUUUUCUUUUUGAAUUGAUUUUAGGGUUUGUGAGUUUUUGUAUCUGCCUGGGUUUUUGAUUUUAUGCGUGUUUUUAUUUGGGUGAUGAAAACUUCGUACCAGUUAUUUUGUUAUGUUUAUAGUGAAAUCAGUUAUUGAAUAAUGAAUUCUACAUUAACCUAAAACUUAACUGAAGUGAUAAUUAUUUACAUCACCUUGUUGUACAAAAUUUUAAUCCGCAGAUGUUCAUUCUCUCAUAAAAUUUGGCCAAUGCACUCACUACGUAUAAAUGACUGUAGUUUAUUGUACACUAGUACACACAGACCAUCAAUUUUGAACAUAUUAUAAUUGGCCACAUUUGGAGAUACUGGUAGCCUUAAAUGGACUGACAUUCCUGUGUUUUAUGUUUAAUUGGCUUGCUUGAAUUUUUUAAAGUUGGAAUGCCUUUGACCAAUUAUGUUGAUCGAAGAAAUUUGUGAAACAAUUGCGGCAACAUCGUAUCAUUGAUUUUUUUCCUCUUGUUUCCGUCAUGGUAAUUCUAGAAUCCCCUGAUAGAACUUUUAAGUGGGAGUUUUGCUCUCAUUUUCCUAAAGUAAAGUAGGUAUGCCAUUUGUGUGUUCACGAAUCACUUUUUGUUGCUUUUCAGUGGGAGUUAGAUUCCCAUUAUUUCUUUCGGUAAAAGCUAGUUAAGUAUUUUUGUGUUUUUUCAGUUAAGUCCAUCUAAUACUGUUCUCGAUGGGAGUGAGUUAGGUUCAUCUAUAUUUUUGUGUUUUUUUUAGUUACGUCCAUCUAAUAUUGUUCUCAAUGGGAGUGAGUUAGAAUCAUCUAACUUACGUUGUUGGUACAUUUGUUGUCACUUAAAUGCAAAUAGAGUAUU